Long non-coding RNA from Archocentrus centrarchus (flier cichlid), 3197 nucleotides. RefSeq lists it as uncharacterized. The transcript is spliced from 2 exons. The record is from RefSeq and is a predicted model, not a curated record. Lineage: Eukaryota; Metazoa; Chordata; Actinopteri; Cichliformes; Cichlidae.
UAGGUUGCACAUCAUGUAGAGCAAGCAGGGGCUUCCACCACUUCAGAGGAGUGCCAUUUUAUCUUUUUUAUUUAUGUUUGAAUCAUUUAAAAACCAAGGUAUCAGCUAAACAUGUCUUACACGGCUAAGCAGUAAAAGUUUGCUUGAGGAGAUGAGCUUUUAAUAAGGGCUGACAGGUUGUCUUGGAAGCCGAGACAAGCCUGAAAAUCUUCUUUUUGUAAGCUUUGCGGAUUAUAAAGACAAAGGAGGAUGGCAAUAUUCGCAUGAAACAGCUUUGUUACCCCCCACCCCAUCCUGCCCAUCAACUGACUCCAUUCUUCAACUUGACAUCAUCCCUCCACACAGACAAGAAGAAGAAGAAGAGGAGAAGAGAGAAGCAGAGGUGGGGAGGCAAACAGACGGAAAGAGGAGGAAGAGAGGAGAGGAGGUGGGCAGCACACUUUCAGCUCUCACAAGGCUGAGGAGGAGAAAGUGACAGCAGCUAGAACUUGGCCACUAGUGAGAUGAAAUUGGAGAGGAGACGCUGCAGCGCUUGAGGAGACGACAUCCAAAGAGAGCCCUAAAAUUGGACCGCCUGGAAGACAAGCCAGCCGUCUCUGGAUCCCGUCCACCACCCCCCCACAGCAGAAGGAUGAGAGGGGUCGACUUUCACCUUAGUGGCCAGGGAUGUCUGUGCACUACGGGAAGGCAUCCCCUUCCAGCAUGUCCAAUGCUAUGUUACUCCUGAUGCUUUGCAAGAUUGGUCUGAGAAGAAAACUGCAGACUUUUCCAGGGAAAAUGGUAAACACUCUCUACAGUGAUGAGGAAAGGGAAUCCAAGACAAGGAAGUAAGGAGGAGACCAUCUUGGCCAUGUUGGGCAUCAUUGGACCAUUCUCAACUUGGUAGUCAUCAUUUUUGUCUACAUCUACACCACCCUUGUAGGUUUUGAACUCUUAUUGUACUUCCUCAGUGGACAGAGCAGGGUACAUUUGAGCUGUUUCUGCUACAGUAUGUUGACUGAAAAGCAGAAAAAGAUGGGAGGAAAAAGGAAGAGGAUGAACUGUGCUGCUGGCAUAUGGCACCAAUCCUGCAUCACUUCAAACAGCUGACACUUUAGGAAACUGGCUUGUUCCUCCCCCUUUACAGGUAAAAUUAUCCAGAAUUUCUGGUCAUUUUGACUUGUAUAUAAAUGCAUGAAGCAAAGGAGAGACACUUGAAAGAUGAGCGCUUUCACCAACACAUGGACUUAAGACAGAAGGCAGAGUGGACAUUUUUGGGUAAUACUUUUCAGAUGUUCUUAUUAAAUGAAAGAUGAUUUUUUGUUUUAUGAUUUACGUCCAUGGGAUAUUAGUUGACAUUGUAACUAACACAGGGUUUUGCUUUGUUGUUUUGUUUAUCUAUGAAAUUUUAACAGACAUUUAAGAAUAUCUUACUCUGAUUGAUUUAAUAUUCACUUUAACACUGUUUAACACCAUCGUUUGGAAAGUAUUGACUGGAUGACAUUUAUGGAGACUAAAAUUUUAAAAUAUAAAUACAUUCAGAGUUUUAGGUUGUGUAUUUGUACAUUUAUGGAAAAAAGGUGGAGUCUUUAAAUGGUAUGAUGUCAGUUUAAAGUGCAGAAAUGAAACCAAGGAAGAUCAGAUAGUUACUUAAAUUUGUUAAAAACAGUGUCACUAUCUUUUAAGUCCAAAUUUUUAAAUGUGUCACUUAAUCCUUUAAAGGCUAUGAGUACUGAAAAGAGCUGAGUAAAACAUACUUCACAGAAAAACUGAGAAGUAUGUUUUACUCAGUUAGGUGCAGCUUUGAAACCAUAAAUUUAUCAACAUUUACAAAAAGUUUCAUGAUUUUCAUGUUACUAAUUACUAUAAAAAUACACUCAUAAAAGUACAAAAGUGAAAGUGAAAGCUUGGAAUCAUUAUCAGUUUGUGUAUCACUAAAUAAGAAUCCAUGAUGACUGUUUGCCUUAAAACAUGAGGAAAUGUUUAUUUCCACAAUGUUUAUCAGGUUAUAAAGACUUUGUUAAACCUUUCCCUUGUUGUACAUACAUAUAAUGUUCUUAUUAUAUGGGUUUAUUGGCGGUAAUUUUACAAAAGUAUCCUACUCUUGUCUGAGCCAACAUGUAUGCUACCGGAUAUUUCCAGACCUGGGCCAAAAUAUGUUACAUUGAGUCAUUUGUGUCAUUUUCAAAGGACAACACUGGACAGUACUGUGAAUCAUAUGAAAUCUACAUGAGGACGAGAAUCUUUAUACUAGCUUUUGGUAUUUUUUUUUAAACUGACUUAACAAACACUGUGUCAUAGAUUUUUAAUGCCUUGUUCCAUCUGUGAACAACCCUGUCUCCAAGAAAUUACAUUUACAUGCAACAAAAUUACAAGAAGACAGAAGUGCAGUGCUGACUAAGGAAAUGCUUGUUAUUUAUUGAGUACAGGGUUAGUUCAGGUUUACACAAAGUGAAGGUCAGCCGCACUGAACAGCAUCAGCGCAAGGGGUGCUGAUAUCCUUGUACACAUUCAAUUGGAAAAUUGCAUUUAAGUUACUUUAGCAUUUGUGCAGCUGCUGUGCACUACAAGCCACUUUGCAACCCAUCUUCCUUGCCUAUGGAUUAUUACAUAUGCAGGCUGAAAGAUGACGAGGUCUCAGACAGAAAAACUACUGCAAUGGAAAUAAUCUUCUUUAGGCAAGUCAAAAAAAUGUUGAUAAUGAACUCAUCAGUAACGUGUACUGCCAAUAUAUUUUAUGUUACCACCAAAAUAUUUGGCUUUGGAAAGCCAUAUAUACCUGUACUGGAUACAGCAUUGUAGCAUUGGCACUCUGUGUCAAUAUUUUUAAUGUUAAACAUUUAAAAUCUUGUGUUUCUUACCGCUGAAGCAAAAAAACAAAAUAGUGACACAGCCCAGUGUGAGUCAGUAAGACUGAGAAGACGUAAACCCCAGGCUUUUGGGUCAUGUAAUCGACUCUGAUUUCCUUAUACUGACUGCAGUGAAGUACAUUAUUUUAGUGAUUCAUUCAUUCAGAAAAUGCUUAUUAAUACAUAACCAUAUGGUUUAUGAGACAGGCUUGCUGGCAGAUGUACUGGACAAAAACAGAUUCAUUUUACUUGACCCAGGACUGGAAUUAAGAAUAAUUUUAAGAAGGAAGUGUGUCAAGUUUUUUUUUUCCUACAUUUUUGAGUCUGACUGAUCUAGUCCAGCUUGUACAAAAAAAAAAAAAAAAAAAA